GGACCCACAUUCCCCCCAUGGAGCAUUUUUGCCAGAAAGAAGAGCAGCUGAAAGGGAUCUCCGGUGCAAGCAGGUGGUGUGCUGGAGGGGUUAAGCAGGGGCUUAACGCUAUUUCACAGGGCAACAAGACCAAAGUGGAAUUCAAAGCAGGGCGCACACCAGGAGGUGUGCUUAAGAGAAGAGUGGCGGCACGCGGUAGACUGAAGCUCUCCCGUGCCGCCGCGCCCCCUCCUCCCGCCCCGCCACCCCCCGCAGGAAGCCUGGCAAGAGACUGGAGCAGUGGUGCAGGUGGGCAAUGGAGGGAUGCUGCAGUGGGACGCGUGGCCGUGGAGGUGGUAAUAUAGAGUAACUAAGACAUCAUUUGCUGGAGGUGGCCAGUCAAGCAAUUUGUGAGGAAAGGUGAACUGAAAACUCCACCUUGGGGAAGAUGGCAGCGUGGGGGAAGUUGGUGAUGGAACACCAGGAAGAAGCCAAAGGAGCAGCUGAACCAGGCUCGCGCAGCCCCUCUACAAGAUGGCCGCCCUGGAACCACAUGACGGGAAGGAGGCGGAGCUCUGCCCCAGCUCGCCAAGCCCCUCCCCGCUCGGCCCCGCCCAGCGCCCCCUCCCGCCGGGCCGCGCGGGUUAUGAGGUGUCUCCGUGAGGCGCCUGCGCAGUGGGCAGCGGCGCGCGGGGCGGAGGCUUUAUAACCACUUAGUCGCCGUCGCUCGGCUUCCAGCUCUCGGAGGGCGGCUGAGGCGGCGGCUGCGGCGCCUGGGCGCCGGCUGAAGGGGCUGAGGCGGCGGGAGCUGUGGCGGCGCUGGGCGCCCCUCGCCCCUCGGCCUCUGCGGGCCAUGGGCUCCGAGAAGGACUCGGAAUCGCCGCG
Molecule: long non-coding RNA, 864 nt
Filed under: Dasypus novemcinctus (nine-banded armadillo)
Lineage: Eukaryota; Metazoa; Chordata; Mammalia; Cingulata; Dasypodidae
Description: lncRNA (ENSDNOG00000051831.1)
Source: RNAcentral